UUCUGCUAUCACUCUUGGAUGGACCUGCGGUGCAUUAGCUAGUUGGGUAGGGUAACGGCCUACCAAGGCGAUGAUGCAUAGCCGAGUUGAGAGACUGAUCGGCACAUUGGGACUGAGACACGGCCCAAACUCCUACGGGAGGCAGCAGUAGGGGAAUUUUCCACAAUGGACGCAAGUCUGAUGGAGCAACGCCGCGUGAGUGAAGUAAGGGUUUCGGCUCGUAAAGCUCUGUUGUUGGUGAAGAAGGACAGGGGGUAGUAACUGACCUUUGUUUGACGGUAAUCAAUUAGAAAGUCACGGCUAACUACGUGCCAGCAGCCGCGGUAAAU
This 329-nucleotide ribosomal RNA is filed under the name uncultured Lactobacillus sp. Its description in RNAcentral is "bacterial SSU rRNA". It matches the Rfam family "Bacterial small subunit ribosomal RNA", at positions 207 to 525 of the family's 1533-position model. The record is from RNAcentral. Lineage: Bacteria; Bacillati; Bacillota; Bacilli; Lactobacillales; Lactobacillaceae.